Aegilops tauschii subsp. strangulata is the source of this 1558-nucleotide long non-coding RNA. RefSeq lists it as uncharacterized. Lineage: Eukaryota; Viridiplantae; Streptophyta; Magnoliopsida; Poales; Poaceae. The record is from RefSeq and is a predicted model, not a curated record.
AACGCACCAGCCACAAGGGGCUGGUGUGCCCUCCAUAUGGGCCAGUCAAGGAGGAGAAGAAAAGAGGGGAAUAGGAUUACCCCUUCCUUCUCCCUCCCCAUCUCUUUCCUUCCCCCUUCGAUAUAUAUGGCAAGGGGCACGCGGCUUUGGAGGAGCCAUUCGGUUCUAUUUGGGGCGCCUCCUGGCCUCUCCUCCUCUUACCUUUAUAGGACAACAUUAUUCUAAUUCUGGGAUCAGAAUAGAUCAGACCCUGUAUAGGCCCGAUUAGGUGUUCCCGAGAUUCCAGAAAAUGCCCACCAGUCCCGCACCUCCCUCCCGCAGCUCGCUCUCCCCCGAUUCCUCCUCCUGCGACGAACUCGCCGCCCCGCCCUCGAUCUGCCCCCUCCCCCCCGCGCCCUGCCUCAAGAUCAGGCCGUCGCGCCGACACCGACCCCCGGAUCAGGCCGCCCCGGCGCCACCGGUCUUGGAUCCGGCCGCCGCGCUGCCUGCCUCUGCUCCUCACCUGUCCGCCUCCGCGCCCGCACGAGGGGAUGCCAAGCCCUCGUGCUCCUCGAUCGACAGCCACAGGGGGGCCUCCCGCGCACCUUCCCUUCCUCUCCUUCCUUCUCCCUCACACCCUCUCUCUCUGUUCUCCUGCAGGUACCCGCCAUGGCCAUCAUGGAAAACAGCCAUGCGGCAGGAGCUCGCCACCGAAGUCCCCCGAGCACCGUACGCCCCGAAUCUGGCCGGGAACCGGACGAGGUCGAGCCCUCGCGCCCAGAUCCGCUGCAGCAACCUGGAAGUUUGCCGCCGCCACCUCGGGCGGUUCAACUGACGCGCCGCCGCCCUCACCUCCCUCCCCGACAGACGCGCCGUCGUGACUCCACCUCCUGGCUAGGCCACCGCGAGCCUCCACCUCCCGGCUUCCCGGCGCCACCCCGUUGGCCUCCCCCGCGGCCCCGCUUAAUCAAGCCCCGCCGUCUUCCCCGUGCGAGCCAACCAGGCCAGACGGCCACCCCCGCAAGCACCCGUCCUCGGUGUUCACUUGGUGGAGACUAGGAGCAGCGACAGAGACGCCGCCCCGAGGCGGAAUCCCUGCCUCCGCUUGGUUCCGUCCACAGCAGCACACCACAUCUCCCCCGUCGUCCACCUGCCAUGUUCAUGUCCACAGCUUCCAUUUCAGCCGUUGAAGCUGUAGAUGGAGCGCGACAUGCAGCAGUGUCGCCCCAACAGGCAUGCAACGCCGACGACGACAGGGUGUGGCGUGCGUCUGUCCGGCAUGCUGGGCGUGGUGCCGAGGGGGCAGCAGUUUGAAUUGGCCGGGGGUUAAAGUUCAGGUAAUGCUAUUGUCUGGUGGCAAAGGACCAUGCAGGCUGUUUCGUUACUGAAAAAACGCGUGACGCAAGGAACAAGAUUUUUUCAAUAAACUCCUACUCUUAUUCUUUUCCCCUUCGGCUUUCUCUGCCAUGGAUGUGUGCAUGCGUGCUAUGUGCGUGAGUGCGCUACAGCAAUUUGUGUAAAAGAAGCAUUUUCAAUUGGGCAAAAUUAGUUGAUGGUUGUCGAAGUUCAGACAUUUUAA